AGUGAACGCUGGCGGUAGGCCUAACACAUGCAAGUCGAACGGCAGCACAGUAAGAGCUUGCUCUUACGGGUGGCGAGUGGCGGACGGGUGAGGAAUACAUCGGAAUCUACUUUUUCGUGGGGGAUAACGUAGGGAAACUUACGCUAAUACCGCAUACGACCUACGGGUGAAAGCAGGGGAUCUUCGGACCUUGCGCGAUUGAAUGAGCCGAUGUCGGAUUAGCUAGUUGGCGGGGUAAAGGCCCACCAAGGCGACGAUCUGUAGCUGGUCUGAGAGGAUGAUCAGCCACACUGGAACUGAGACACGGUCCAGACUCCUACGGGAGGCAGCAGUGGGGAAUAUUGGACAAUGGGCGCAAGCCUGAUCCAGCCAUACCGCGUGGGUGAAGAAGGCCUUCGGGUUGUAAAGCCCUUUUGUUGGGAAAGAAAAGCAGCAGGUUAAUACCCCGCUGUUCUGACGGUACCCAAAGAAUAAGCAUCGGCUAACUUCGUG
RNAcentral lists this ribosomal RNA (492 nucleotides) under uncultured bacterium. RNAcentral describes it as "partial 16S ribosomal RNA". It matches the Rfam family "Bacterial small subunit ribosomal RNA", at positions 29 to 507 of the family's 1533-position model. The record is from RNAcentral.